RNAcentral lists this ribosomal RNA (220 nucleotides) under uncultured Glomus. RNAcentral's name for it is "partial small subunit ribosomal RNA". It matches the Rfam family "Eukaryotic small subunit ribosomal RNA", at positions 591 to 818 of the family's 1831-position model. The record is from RNAcentral. Lineage: Eukaryota; Fungi; Glomeromycota; Glomeromycetes; Glomerales; Glomeraceae.
CCAAUAGCGUAUAUUAAAGUUGUUGCAGUUAAAAAGCUCGUAGUUGAAUUUCGGGACUAAUAUGUCGGUCGUACUUUGUACGUACUAGCAUUAUUGGUUUCUCCCUUCUGACGAACCACGAUGUCAUUAAUUUGGUGUCGUGGGAAAUCAGGACUGUUACUUUGAAAAAAUUAGAGUGUUUAAAGCAAGCUCGCGCUUGAAUACAUUAGCAUGGAAUAAU